CCCUUAGAUGUUCUGGGCCGCACGCGCGCUACACUGAUGCAUUCAACGAGUCUAAAACCUGGUCUGAUAGGGCUGGGUAAUCUUUUGAAUGUGCAUCGUGAUUGGGAUAGAUGAUUGCAAUUCUUCAUCUUCAACGAGGAAUGCCUAGUAAACGCAAGUCAUCAGCUUGCAUUGAUUACGUCCCUGCCCUUUGUACACGCCGCCCGUCGCUCCUACCGAUUGAAUGUUCCGAUGAAUACCAUGGACUGAGAGUAUGAAUGGGUUCGCCUAUUUCUGCUUCUCGGGAAGUGGAGUAAAUCUUAACAUUUAGAGGAAGGAGAAGUCGUAACA
This 330-nucleotide ribosomal RNA is filed under the name uncultured eukaryote. RNAcentral describes it as "partial 18S ribosomal RNA". It matches the Rfam family "Eukaryotic small subunit ribosomal RNA", at positions 1470 to 1796 of the family's 1831-position model. The record is from RNAcentral.